Molecule: non-coding RNA, 21 nt
Organism: Caenorhabditis elegans
Lineage: Eukaryota; Metazoa; Nematoda; Chromadorea; Rhabditida; Rhabditidae
Source: Ensembl
UUUUACGUUCUCUGGUUGAAA